GCAUCAACAUCUGAUGCAGCAACCACAACUAUGCCUGACACCACAACAACAAUUGAUACAACAACAUCUUUGGCUUCCACAACCACCUUUUCUACAUCCUCAACGGUUGAACCAACGUCAACAACAACUGAUGCAUCAACAACAACUCUGUCUGACACCACAACAACAAAAACUGAUGCAACAACAGUUUUGGCUUCCACAACCGCACCUCUGAUAUCGACCACUAUAGCACCAGCAUCAACAUCUGAUGCAGCAACCACAACUAUGCCUGACACCACAACAACAAUUGAUACAACAACAAAUUUGGCUUCCACAAUCACUCCUACAACAUCCUCAACUGUAGUGCCAGUUUCAACAACAACUGAUGCAUCAACAACAACUCUGUCUGACACCACAACAACAACAACAACUGAUACAACAACAACUUUGGCUCUCGCAACCACCGCUCCAACAUCCUCUAAUAUUGCACCAAUUUCACCAACUGAAACAGCAACCACAACUAUGCCUGACACCACAACAACAACUGAUACAACAACAUCUUUGGAUUUCCACAACCACCUUUUCCAACAUCCUCAACGUUUGAACCAACGUCAACAACAUCUGAUGUAGCAACAACAAGUAUUCCUGAUACCACAACAAUGAUAGAUGCAACAACAGUUUUGGCUUCCACAACCACACCUCUGACAUUGACCACUAUAGCACCAGCAUCAACAUCUGAUGCAGCAACCACAAUUAUGCCUGACACCACAACAACAAUUGAUACAACAACAUCUUUGGCUUCCACAACCACCUUUCCAACAUCCUCAACGUUUGAACCAACGUCAACAACAUCUGAUGUAGCAACCACAACUCUGUCUGACACCACAAAAACAUCUGAUGCAACACUCUAGCAUCAGUGUCAAAAACAACAACUGAUGAAUCAAAAAAACAACUCUGUCUGACACCACUACAACUACUGAUGCAACAACAAUUUUGUAUUCCAAAAACCACCCAUCUAAUGUCAACCACUGAUGCAUCAACCACAACUCUGCCUGACACCACAACAACUACUGGUGCUGCAAUUGUGACUUCCACAACCACCCCUCCAACAUCUUCGACAGUAGGACCAACGUCAACAACUGAUGAAUCAACCACAACUCUGCCUGACACCCCAACAUCUACUGAUGCAACAACAGUUUUGGCUUCCACAACCGCACAUCUGACAUCGACCACUAUAGCACCAGCAUCAACAUCUGAUGCAGCAACCACAAGUAUUCCUGAUACCACAACAAUGAUAGAUGCAACAACAACUUUGGCUUCCACAAUCACUCCUACAACAUCCUCAACUGUAGUGCCAGUUUCAACAACAACUGAUGCAGCAACCACAACUCUGUCUGACACCACAACAACAACUGAUGCAACAACAAUUUUGGCUUCCACAACCACACCUCUGAUAUCGACCACUAUAGCACCAGCAUCAACAUCUGAUGCCGUAACCACAACUAUGCCUGACACCACAACAACAACUGAUACAACAACAUCUUUGGAUUCCACAACCACCUUUCCAACAUCCUCAACGUUUGAACCAACGUCAACAACAUCUGAUGUAGCAACAACAAGUAUUCCUGAUACCACAACAAUGAUAGAUGCAACAACAUCUUUGGCUUCCACAACCACCUUUUCAACAUCCUCAACGGUUGAACCAACGUCAACAACAUCUGAUGCAGCAACCACAAGUAUUCCUGAUACCACAACAAUGAUAGAUGCAACAACAACUUUGGCUUCUACAUUCACUCCUACAACAUCCUCAACUGUAGCGCCAGUUUCAACAACAACUCAUGCAUCAACAACAACUCUGUCUGACACCACAACAACAACAACUGAUGCAACAACAGUUUUGGCUUCCACAACCACACCUCUGACAUUGACCACUAUAGCACCAGCAUCAACAUCUGAUGCAGCAACCACAAUUAUGCCUGACACCACAACAACAAUUGAUACAACAAAUGUUGCAUCAACCACAAGUAUGCUUGACACCACAGCAACUACUGAUGUGACAGCAACUUUGGCUCCUACAACCACUUCUCCAGAUUCCUCAACAGUGGCAAAAACAUCGACAACUGAUGGAACAACAACUAUGCCUGACUUUACAACAAUUAUUGAUGCAACAACUUUAGAUAGCACAUCCACCCUUUCAACAUCUUCAACUGUGGCACCAAUGUCAACAAAAACUGAAGUGGCAACCACAAUUCUCUCUGACACCACAGAAACUACUGAUGCAAAAACAAAUUUGGCUUCCGGAACCAUUCCUCAAAUAUCAUCAACUAUAGCACCAGCAUCAUCAACUGAUGCAGCAACCACAACUAUGCCAGACACAGCAACAUCUUUGCUUAGCGCCAGCAUCCCUCCAACAUCCUCAACUGUAGCAUCAUCAGCUGGGUUAGCAACCACACCUAUGCCUGACAACACAAUAGCACUUCCAAAAACAACUACUGGUGCAACAACAACAAUUUUGGCUACCACAAGCACUACUCCAACAUCCUCAAAUGUAGCACCAACACUGACAACUGAUUCGGCAACUAAAACUAAGCUUGAAUCCUCAACCACUAUUGGUGUAACAACAAGAACCCCUCAAAUAUCCUCAACUAUGCUCAAGCCUUACAUCACAACAAUUAUUGAAACAACAACAAAUUUGGUUUCCAAAACCACUAAUCCAACAUUCACAACCACAGCACAGGUGUUGACAAGUGACUCAGCAAUGACAACUAUUGCUGAUGCAACAACAGUACUUCCAACAACAACUAGUCAUGAAACAACAACCUUGGCUAUCACUAGCACCCCUCUAGAGUCCUCAUCUAAUGUAGCAACCACAACUUUGCCUGAACAUACAACAACUACUGGUGCAAAUACAACAACAACAACAACAAAUAAUAUUGAUGCAGCAGUCACAACUAUGUCUGAAAUAACAACAGUGUUUCCAACAAAUGCUACUAUUGUUGAGACAACAACAACUUUGGUUUCCACAACAACAAACAAUCCUACAACAAUUACUGUGGCUGAAACCACAACAUAUCUUCCAAAUACAGCUACUGGCGAGACAAUAACAACUUUGGCCACAUCUCCAACAUCCUUAUCUAUAGCACAAAAGUUGACUGACACAACCAUCCCUUCAACAUCCUCAAAUAUAGCACCAAAAUCAACAACUGAUGCAGCAACCACAACUUCACCUAAAACAACAACAGUACUUUCCAAAACAACUAUUAGUGCAACAGCUUUGGCUGCCAAAAGUACCCCUCCAGUGUCCUCAUCUGUAGCACCAACAUUGACAACUGAUGCAGCAAACGCAACUAUGGCUGAAACAGAAACAGUUCUUCCAACAAAAACUUUUGGUGCAACAACAAAAUCUGUUCUAGCACCAACAAUGACAUCUGAUGCAACAAUCAGAACUUUGCCUGAAACAUCAAUGGUAUUUUCAAAAACAACUAUUGGUGCAACAACAACAACUUUGACUAUUACAAGUGCUCCUCCAGCAUCCUCAUCUUUUGCACCAACUUUGACUACUGGUGCGGCAGUCACAACUAUUCCUGAAACAAAAAAAGUCCAUCCAGCAACAACUGUUGGUGCAACAACAGCUUUGUCUACAUUAUCUGUUCUAGCACCAAUGUCAGCAUCUGAUGCUGCUUCCACAACUAUGGCUGACACCACAACAAAUAUUGAUUCAAAAACAUCAACUUUGACUCCCACAAGCACUCCUCCAACAUCCUCAACUGUAGCACAGUUCUCAAAAUCUGAUGCAACAACCACUACUAUGCUUGGAACGACAACAGUCCUUCCAGCAAAGCCUAUUAGUGCAACACCAACAACUUUGGUUAACACAAGCACCCUUGCAACAUCUUCACUUGUAGAACCAAUGUUGACAGCUGAUGCAGCAAUCACAACUAUGGCUGACACCACAACAAUUACUGGUGCAACAACAAAUUUGGCCAACACAAGCACCCCGCCAAUAUCAUCAGUUAUACCACCAACGUCAACAUCUGAUGUGGCAGCCAAAACUAUGGCUGACACCACAACAAGUAUUGGUGCAACAGCAACAACUUUGACAACCACAACUAUGGCUGACACAACAACAAAUAUUGGUGCAACAACAGCAAAUUUGGUUAACACAAGCACUCCUCCAACAUCCUCAACUGUAGCACAAUUGUUGACAACUGAUUCAGCAACCACAGCUAUUCCUGAAAUAACAGUGGUACUUCCAACAAUGAUUGGUGCAACAACAACAACUUUGGCUACCAGAAGUACCCUUUCAACAUUCUCCACUCUAGCUCCAACAUCAACAACCGAUACACCAACUACAACUAUGCCUGAAAAAACAUUAGCACUUCUAACAAAUGGUAUUAUUGUUGAGGCAACUAAAACUUUGGUUUCCACAACAACAAACAAUCCAACAUCUACUAUGGCUGAAACCACAACAACCCUUCCAGUAACUUUGGCCACACUUCCAACAUCCUUGACUAUAGAACAAUCUUUGGCUGCUACAACCAUCCCUCAAACAUCAUCAAAUAUAGCACCCAUGUUGACAACUGAUAGAGCAACUACAAAUUCACCCGAAACAGCAACAAUUCUUUCAGCAACAACAAUUGGUGCAACAACAACAACUCUGGCUGCCAAAAGCACCUCUCCAGCAUCCUCAUCUGUAGCACCAACAACUGAUGCAGCAACCACAACUAUGCCUGAAACAACAUCAGUCCUACCAACAACACCUAUUGGUGCAACAACAACUUUGACACAAGCACCCCUCUAA
Molecule: long non-coding RNA, 4780 nt
Organism: Cyprinus carpio carpio
Lineage: Eukaryota; Metazoa; Chordata; Actinopteri; Cypriniformes; Cyprinidae
Source: Ensembl